RNAcentral lists this ribosomal RNA (930 nucleotides) under uncultured Campylobacteraceae bacterium. RNAcentral describes it as "bacterial SSU rRNA". It matches the Rfam family "Bacterial small subunit ribosomal RNA", at positions 48 to 989 of the family's 1533-position model. Lineage: Bacteria; Pseudomonadati; Campylobacterota; Epsilonproteobacteria; Campylobacterales; Campylobacteraceae. The record is from RNAcentral.
CUAACACAUGCAAGUCGAACGAGAACGGAUAUUAGUUUACUAACAUUGUCAGCUAAGUGGCGCACGGGUGAGUAAUAUAUAGUUAACCUGCCUCAAAGAAGGGAAUAAUUGUUGGAAACGACUUGUAAUGCCCUAUAUGCCUUUAUGACAAAAGUCAGCAAGGGAAAUAUUUAUAGCUUUGAGAUGGGACUGUACGGUAUCAGAUAGUUGGUGAGGUAAUGGCUUACCAAGUCUAUGACGCCUAACUGGUUUGAGAGGAUGAUCAGUCACACUGGAACUGAGACACGGUCCAGACUCCUACGGGAGGCAGCAGUGGGGAAUAUUGCACAAUGGAGGGAACUCUGAUGCAGCAACGCCGCGUGGAGGAUGACACAUUUCGGUGCGUAAACUCCUUUUAUAUAAGAAGAUAAUGACGGUAUUAUAUGAAUAAGCACCGGCUAACUCCGUGCCAGCAGCCGCGGUAAUACGGGGGGUGCAAGCGUUACUCGGAAUCACUGGGCGUAAAGAGCAUGUAGGCUGGUAGAAAAGUUGGAAGUGAAAUCCUAUGGCUUAACCAUAGAACUGCUUCCAAAACUCUCUACCUAGAAUAUGGGAGAGGUAGAUGGAAUUUCUGGUGUAGGGGUAAAAUCCGUAGAGAUCAGAAGGAAUACCGAUUGCGAAGGCGAUCUACUGGAACAUUAUUGACGCUCAGAUGCGAAAGCGUGGGGAGCAAACAGGAUUAGAUACCCUGGUAGUCCACGCCCUAAACGAUGCACACUAGUUGUUGCCAUACUAGAUAUGGCAGUAAUGCAGUUAACACAUUAAGUGUGCCGCCUGGGGAGUACGGUCGCAAGAUUAAAACUCAAAGGAAUAGACGGGGACCCGCACAAGCGGUGGAGCAUGUGGUUUAAUUCGACGAUACGCGAAGAACCUUACCUGGCCUUGACAUAG